CCCACCUGCAGGGAAGAGAAAAAGGCAGUGAGCAGUGAGUGUGGUGCAGGGUUAGGAGCAGGCCCUCAGCAUCCUCAUGCUCAGUGCAUGGGAAACCUGGUACCUUGUUCUGCUCAGGCACACGGAAGCCCAGCCCCAUCUUUUCUCCACACAGGUUGUGAUAGGCAGGCGCCCUCCUAAUUUUACUCCACAAGGCCUUAUGUCAGGAAUCCUUAAGAGGCAAUGCUCCCUGCCUCCCAUCCACUUCAGGCAGCUCUAAUGCGGGACAGAGCACUGGGUCCCAGCCCAGGACCCUACUGGCUAUCUGGGUGACCCGGAGCAGGGCAGUUUUGAGCCUCAGUCCUCUAGCCUCAGAAAUGGAAGGCACUGGGAAGAUGACAACAGUCUAAGUGGUGAUGAAGGCGCUUGGCAGGAAGAAAGCACCGGAAGUGCAAAGUAAAGGAGGCCACUUUAGGGAGAGCUAACAUGCACCUCCCUCCUGCCCCGGGGACAUUCCAUCCUCUGGAAUGAAAAUGGAGAUCCUAAGGCCCGAAACCCGGUAUCUCUUACUAGUGGAGCAGGAGCACUUGGGGUACAUUUCGAGCCGAGGUGGUCGCGUUAUCCUCAUCCCCCGCCCUGCACCUUCGUCAUCAGCUUUGCCUCUCCCGUGUCCGUGUGUAGCUCCAUCCUCGUGCUCGCCUUCUUCAUUGGCGGAAGCUGGGAGCCGAGAGAGUGAGCCGUGCGCAGAUGUGCGGCGGUGGAGGUGGCUUUUGUUUCUCCUCCGCGCCCCCUCCCCCCCCGCCCCGCACAUUGCCUGUCGCUCUUCCCACCUAGGACCCUCAAACUGGUUCCCCCUGUACACAGAACCUGGCGACCACGGAUCAUCCCCUCUCUCUUCCUUCGAUGCGAUCAUAUAACAUUUAGAUUUUGCCAGGCCCCUUUAAAUCAUUGCUUCUUUGAACCCUCCCAACAAUCCUAAAGGGAAAUACUGUUUAUGAACCCGUUUUACUAAUCUGACAAUUAUAGCAUAAAGUUUAAGUAACUUGCUCAACAUCACGGAAUGGAAAAGUUGUCACUGAUUUGAAUCCAGCCAGCCUCUCAAGAGAAAGUGUCGAUGAUCAAGCCUUCCUUUGGCCCAGGUUACAUGAAGGUCAAAUGACAUGAAGAAUGGGAAAGGAUUUUAUGAGUGUUCAAAUGUUGGGGGAGCGUCUUAUCACAGAGGACUUUCUGCAGGAGGACAUCCACACUCCUCCUGUCACUGGAUCAGCCAGGAACAUCACCACACUCAGCCAGCUGCACAAUCUGCCAUAGCUGUGUUCUGAGAACUUCUGUAAACAAAGUAAUAUUAAUUAUGGAGAUGAUGAAAUCACAAUCAAAAUUCCAAACUAAGUUCAUCUGCAACCCACGAUCACACUACAUCUUGGCGGGAAUAUGCUGGUUUGAAGUAGUCAAGGGCUGGAGUUUGAAAGAGGAACAAAUGAAGCCUGACCUUGGGAGGAACUUCCAAAGAUUCUGAGCCAACUCCCAACAGGGAGCUCUCAGGAUUCAGCGAGUGUCCUGAGUGUGCUGUCUGUCUGUGACGCCGGCUAGGCCAAGCCUGAUGGUUCCUCAUGAGAAUGUCCUGGCCUGUGCUGCUGAAGGUGUGGUCCACAGUGGGGUCAGUCUGCUGUUUCCAGUCUCCAAUGCAACUCAUCCAUGAACAUAUGUGCAGAGUUUGUAAACCUUCCAUUUUUCUGUUAUUUCUGUAUGUAUUUAUUGAUUUUUUUGUGUAAAAUGUAAAACAUGGGUUCUGUAUUUUGUGUUUCAUUAUCUUCAUAGUUAAUAUUACUUUAUUUACAAAGGUUUAGGUCUGGGAUGGAUAGAAAAUGAAAACUGUCCCUUCACCGUGGAGUUUGAGAAGCCCCGUGGAGGAUUCAAGUAAUUUAGGCAUUGGAAUCCACCUCCUGUGGUCACUUUCAAGCCUAAAAUCCGCGGAGGAUCUGAACUUGGGCAGGGAAACCUGAGAAUAAACAUGAGGAAUGGAGAAGUCUCUGUACCACGUUUAAUGAGUGGAGCUGAUCGCGUAUGUCCCCAUCCCCAUAUCAUCCAGCACAGUGCAGGUGCCUUUUACAGAAGAUGGAGGUCAGUGAUGUAACGGGGCUUGCCUGAAGGCGCUCAGACUGUUCAGCACUCACAUUUCCAUCCAGAGCCCAGUCUAAACUCCCAGUUCAAUCUCCCACCCCAGUCCCUCAUUCCAAAAACACAACAGGAACCAGAACGGGAAUCAAGUCUAAGUGUUUAAUUAUUAUUCACAUAUUUCACAGAAAAAAAGGAAUGUAGCAAAGGGGUCAAGAUUGUAGCAAAAAACAAAAAAUCCUGGAUUUUACGGGUCACUCUAUUUGUACUUGGGAGCA
This 2372-nucleotide long non-coding RNA is filed under the name Homo sapiens (human). RNAcentral describes it as "HSALNT0386306". Lineage: Eukaryota; Metazoa; Chordata; Mammalia; Primates; Hominidae. The record is from RNAcentral.